Molecule: non-coding RNA, 788 nt
Filed under: Onthophagus cf. taurinus
Lineage: Eukaryota; Metazoa; Arthropoda; Insecta; Coleoptera; Scarabaeidae
Source: RNAcentral
UAAAAAUUUGAUUUUAGUUUUUAAAUUUGGUUUAUGUUCUAAUUAUAUAUAAAUUUUUGUGAUAUAAGUAAUUUUAAAUAGUAAUUUAUAUAGUAGUAAUAAUAAGAUUUAUACCAUGAAAGAAAUUUUGAUAUAGGGAUAAAUAAUAAUAUUGAUAAAAUUUGUGCCAGCAAUCGCGGUUAAACAGGUGAUAUAAUUAAAUUUUGUUUAAUAAUAAUUAAUAAGUUUAAAUUAAUUUAAAAUUAAAUUUAAUAGGUGAAAUUAUAAAUUUAAAUUAAAUUAAUAUAAAGAUUAUGAGGUUAUGAAAUUCUGGGAUUAGACUAGGAUUAGAUACCCUAUUAUAAAGAAUAUAAAUUAAAAAUGUUAGGGGAGUAGUAGUUAUUAUCUUGAAAUUUAAAGAAUUUGGCGGUAUUUUAAUCUUUUCAGAGGAACCUGUUCUAUAAUUGAUAAUCCACGAUUAAUUUUACUUAAUUUUAGAAGUUUAUAUAUCGUCGUAGUUUGAAUAUCUUUAGAGAGAAAUAAUUGAAUGUUCAUGAUUUAGGGUUAAAUAAAGAAAAUCAGAUCAAGGUGUAGCUGAUAAUUAAGAAGAAAUGGGUUACAAUAAAUUUAUUUAUAUGGAUGUAAAAUUUAAAGUUAUUAUUGAAAUUGGAUUUGAAAGUAAUUAAUUUUAUAUAAAAUUAGUGAUUUUAGCUCUAAAAUAUGUACAUAUCGCCCGUCGCUUUCAUUGAAAAUUAAAUUGAAAUAAGUCGUAACAUAGUGGGCGUACCGGAAGGUGCGCCUGGUUUGUU